RNAcentral lists this long non-coding RNA (1059 nucleotides) under Capra hircus (goat). Its description in RNAcentral is "lncRNA (ENSCHIG00010026478.1)". Lineage: Eukaryota; Metazoa; Chordata; Mammalia; Artiodactyla; Bovidae. The record is from RNAcentral.
GUAUUUAUUUUAUUAGUAUUUAAUUUGUAUUGUUUCAUUGGUUUCUGAUAAGUCUGUAUCACUGUGACGAUUUGAGACAACUUGUUGUAUUGAGGGACUUUCUUCACCUCCUUUCUUUGUCUUUCUUGAUCAAGCUCUGAAGCUGUUUCCUCCCUCUGAAAAAGUUACUCCCAGGUUUUUUUCCACCACUGGGGAGGAGGCAGGGAAGGGUGGGGGCCAUUGACUUGUAAAACUAAUGAAGGUGGUUGGUGCUGGCCCAGGUGUGGGGGCUUGGGGGUGAAUCCUGAGGCUUUGGUGCUCACCCCCCCAAUCCCACCCCCCGACCCCCGUUCAUCCCCCCUGCCCUUUGCAGCAGCCCUGCUGUUUGGAGAUGCUUGUUUACUGGGGGAGGGGAGGAUUGUGGGAGUAAGGGGUUAUUAAUAGGUUACUCUAAUGGAGAGUUGAGAAUGGGUCUUGAAGGUCGCCUCCUCCUCACCGUCCUCACUGCCCUCAGAGUGCACAAUAUAGGUUUGUUCCACAGUUUCUUCCCCUGCACCCCUGGCCACCCUACCCGACCCGGGCCUUGCCCUCCCUGGAUACUGAGCCUCUCAGCUCCCUCUUGCGCUUGUCCCCAUCUCUCCUUCUUGCCUUUGAAGCAUCCCUUUCUCUUCUCUCUGUCCUCAGCUCCUUCUCCCUCUGCCCACUCCCCCAAUUCUUCUUUGGUAUUCCCAGAGGGCUCUGGGAUUUCCUGCCAGAUGUUGAACCCAGGCCUCAGCUGUUUUGUAGGUGAGGGCAGGAGACUGGUCUCCCGCCAGGCCCCACUCCUGCUUGGGGACGGGGGGGGGCUGCGGGCCCGGCCCUACCAGGUCUCCCUCUCAGCGCUGGGUUUGUUGGUGGAGAGAGAGAAGGAGGGGUUUGGGCUGCUUCCUUGCCCCAGCCCCCUCUGUGGCAUUGUCUUUCCCACUCUUGUUCUUAUUUUUCUACCAAUUGCUAUUUUUCCGAACAAUCCUUGUAGAGAGUAUGUACCAUCCAAAAGCAGGAGGGCCUCCCUACGGCCAGCUCUGGUUGGAGAUGGUACAG